GCCCCGAUAGCCCAAUUGGCAGAGGCAGAUGACUUAAAAUCAUCACAGUCAGGGUUCGAGUCCCUGUCGGGGCA
RNAcentral lists this transfer RNA (74 nucleotides) under Actinomycetales bacterium. RNAcentral's name for it is "tRNA-Leu". It matches the Rfam family "tRNA". From Rfam's summary of the family: Transfer RNA (tRNA) molecules are approximately 80 nucleotides in length. Their secondary structure includes four short double-helical elements and three loops (D, anti-codon, and T loops). RNAcentral also lists the same sequence under 20 other names. The record is from RNAcentral. Lineage: Bacteria; Bacillati; Actinomycetota; Actinomycetes; Actinomycetales.